UCCAGCACCCAUAAUCCAUUUCAGUAGCCAUUCCACCUGCAGUUCAUCUGAAUCUAAGCAAUUUUGGGCCUGGCCAGUACUUGGGUGGGAGAACAACUAGGAAAGCUGGGUUGCUGCUGGAA
RNAcentral lists this ribosomal RNA (122 nucleotides) under Paramormyrops kingsleyae. The record is from RNAcentral. Lineage: Eukaryota; Metazoa; Chordata; Actinopteri; Osteoglossiformes; Mormyridae.